ACAUGGUUUCUUGUGGAAAUUAAGAAAUCUAAUCUGCCCACUGAAUGAAUUUUUGAAGGGCCGCAGUAUUUUGACUGUGCAAAGGUAGCAUAAUAAUUAGUCUUUUAAUUGAAGGCUUGUAUGAAUGAUUGGACGAGGCAAAUACUAUUUUAUAUAAAUUAUUAUUGAAUUUAGGUUUUAAGUAAAAAAACUUAAAUAUGAUUAAGGGACGAGAAGACCCUAUAGAGUUUAAUAAAUUAAAUAAUUAAUUGAGUUAAAAUUUAAUUUUUGAUUAUUAUUAAAUUUAUUUAAUUGGGGUGAUUAAAGAAUAAUUAAAACUUUUUUUUUAAUUUUAUAUUAUGAGUAGUUAUAUGAUCCAUUAAUUAGUGAUUAAAAGAUUAAAUUACCUUAGGGAUAACAGCAUAAUUUUUUUUAAGAGUUCAUAUCGAAAAAAGAGAUUAUGACCUCGAUGUUG
Molecule: ribosomal RNA, 454 nt
Filed under: Stagmomantis carolina
Lineage: Eukaryota; Metazoa; Arthropoda; Insecta; Mantodea; Mantidae
Description: partial 16S ribosomal RNA
Source: RNAcentral